Molecule: long non-coding RNA, 346 nt
Filed under: Vigna radiata
Lineage: Eukaryota; Viridiplantae; Streptophyta; Magnoliopsida; Fabales; Fabaceae
Description: long non-coding RNA (VRAD_LNC010271)
Source: RNAcentral
GAUAUACAAGAAUCAUACAAUUUUAAUAAUACACAACAUACGUGUUUUAAAUCAAGCAAAGUAGACUAAAUCACACAUCCUAACAUGUUAUAUUCUAGACUUGACUCGUCCGGACUUAGAAUGAUUGUCGAGCUAUGGCGGGUCGUGCACUCGUGGUGGCCUCUACUGCUUUGCAAAACCAUUGUCAAUGAGUUUCACCCUACCAUACUCACGAGGUUAGUCUGUUUCGGGCCUUAAGGCAUACUGGAAGCCCCCAAGACUAAGACCUCCUGCUACUCCUGACAAUAUGGUUCAAUCAUCUCUACUUGAGAAUGAAAGACCAUUGGAGUUUCAGGAUAACCCCCAA